GGUGGCUCAGGGGUAGAGUGCUUGCUUUGCAUGCAUGAGGCCCUGGGUUCAAUUCCUCAGCACCA
This 65-nucleotide transfer RNA is filed under the name Dipodomys ordii (Ord's kangaroo rat). It matches the Rfam family "tRNA". Rfam says of the family: Transfer RNA (tRNA) molecules are approximately 80 nucleotides in length. The record is from Rfam by way of RNAcentral. Lineage: Eukaryota; Metazoa; Chordata; Mammalia; Rodentia; Heteromyidae.